CCUACGGGUGGCAGCAGUCGAGAAUCAUUCACAAUGGGGGAAACCCUGAUGGUGCGACGCCGCGUGGGGGAAUGAAGGUCUUCGGAUUGUAAACCCCUGUCAUGUGUGAGCAAAUUACAAGGAUCGUCCCACAAGAGGAAGAGCCGGCUAACUCUGUGCCAGCAGCCGCGGUAAUACAUAGGUCUCAAGCGUUGUUCGGAAUCACUGGGCGUAAAGCGUGCGUAGGCUGUUUCGUAAGUCGUGUGUGAAAGGCGCGGGCUCAACCCGCGGACUGCAGAUGAUACUGUGAGACUAGAGUAAGGGAGGGGUCACCGGAAUUCUCGGUGUAGCAGUGAAAUGCGUAGAUAUCGGGAGGAACACUCGUGGCGAAGGCGGGUGCCUGGACAGUAACUGACGGUGAGGCACGAAGGCCAGGGGAGCGAAAGGGAUUAGAUACCCUGGUAGUC
RNAcentral lists this ribosomal RNA (446 nucleotides) under uncultured bacterium. RNAcentral's name for it is "partial 16S ribosomal RNA". It matches the Rfam family "Bacterial small subunit ribosomal RNA", at positions 338 to 795 of the family's 1533-position model. The record is from RNAcentral.